RNAcentral lists this ribosomal RNA (576 nucleotides) under Enterococcus faecalis. Its description in RNAcentral is "partial 23S ribosomal RNA". It matches the Rfam family "Bacterial large subunit ribosomal RNA", at positions 332 to 909 of the family's 2925-position model. Lineage: Bacteria; Bacillati; Bacillota; Bacilli; Lactobacillales; Enterococcaceae. The record is from RNAcentral.
GUUGAAGGAUUUGGAAAAUUCCGCUAAAGAGGGUGAAAGCCCCGUAGACGAAAUGCUAACAACACCUAGGAGGAUCCUGAGUACGGCGGAACACGAGAAAUUCCGUCGGAAUCCGCGGGGACCAUCCCGCAAGGCUAAAUACUCCCUAGUGACCGAUAGUGAACCAGUACCGUGAGGGAAAGGUGAAAAGCACCCCGGAAGGGGAGUGAAAUAGAUCCUGAAACCGUGUGCCUACAACAAGUCAAAGCUCGUUAAUGAGUGAUGGCGUGCCUUUUGUAGAAUGAACCGGCGAGUUACGAUUGCAUGCGAGGUUAAGUCGAAGAGACGGAGCCGCAGCGAAAGCGAGUCUGAAUAGGGCGAAUGAGUAUGUAGUCGUAGACCCGAAACCAUGUGAUCUACCCAUGUCCAGGUUGAAGGUGCGGUAAAACGCACUGGAGGACCGAACCCACGUACGUUGAAAAGUGCGGGGAUGAGGUGUGGGUAGCGGAGAAAUUCCAAACGAACUUGGAGAUAGCUGGUUCUCUCCGAAAUAGCUUUAGGGCUAGCCUCGGAAUUGAGAAUGAUGGAGGUAGAGCA